RNAcentral lists this ribosomal RNA (498 nucleotides) under uncultured bacterium. Its description in RNAcentral is "partial 16S ribosomal RNA". It matches the Rfam family "Bacterial small subunit ribosomal RNA", at positions 29 to 523 of the family's 1533-position model. The record is from RNAcentral.
AUUGAACGCUGGCGGAAUGCUUUACACAUGCAAGUCGAACGGCAGCACGGGGCAACCUGGUGGCGAGUGGCGAACGGGUGAGUAAUACAUCGGAACGUGCCCAAUCGUGGGGGAUAACGUAGCGAAAGCUACGCUAAUACCGCAUACGAUCUACGGAUGAAAGCGGGGGAUCGCAAGACCUCGCGCGAAUGGAGCGGCCGAUGGCAGAUUAGGUAGUUGGUGGGGUAAAGGCUCACCAAGCCGACGAUCUGUAGCUGGUCUGAGAGGACGACCGGCCACACUGGGACUGAGACACGGCCCAGACUCCUACGGGAGGCAGCAGUGGGGAAUUUUGGACAAUGGGCGCAAGCCUGAUCCAGCCAUUCCGCGUGCAGGAUGAAGGCCUUCGGGUUGUAAACUGCUUUUGUACGGAACGAAAAGGCUCUGGUUAAUACCCGGGGCUCAUGACGGUACCGUAAGAAUAAGCACCGGCUAACUACGUGCCAGCCGCCGCAGUAA